UACGUAGGGUGCAAGCGUUAUCCGGAAUUAUUGGGCGUAAAGAGCUCGUAGGCGGUUUGUCGCGUCUGCUGUGAAAACCCGAGGCUCAACCUCGGGCCUGCAGUGGGUACGGGCAGACUAGAGUGCGGUAGGGGAGACUGGAAUUCCUGGUGUAGCGGUGGAAUGCGCAGAUAUCAGGAGGAACACCGGUGGCGAAGGCGGGUCUCUGGGCCGAUACUGACGCUGAGGAGCGAAAGCGUGGGGAGCGAACAGG
This 253-nucleotide ribosomal RNA is filed under the name uncultured bacterium. Its description in RNAcentral is "partial 16S ribosomal RNA". It matches the Rfam family "Bacterial small subunit ribosomal RNA", at positions 524 to 776 of the family's 1533-position model. The record is from RNAcentral.